GGCUCAGGAUGAACGCUAGCGACAGGCCUAACACAUGCAAGUCGAGGGGCAGCACAAGGAGCAAUCUGAGGUGGCGACCGGCGCACGGGUGAGUAACACGUAUGCAACCUGCCUGUAAGCGGGGAAUAACCCGUUGAAAGACGGACUAAUACCGCAUAAUACUAAAUUACUGCAUGGUAAUUUAUUUAAACAUUUAUGGCUUACAGAUGGGCAUGCGCAUGAUUAGCUAGUUGGAGAGGUAACGACUCCCCAAGGCAACGAUCAUUAGGGGUUCUGAGAGGAAGGUCCCCCCACACUGGUACUGAGACACGGACCAGACUCCUACGGGAGGCAGCAGUGAGGAAUAUUGGUCAAUGGACGAGAGUCUGAACCAGCCAAGUCGCGUGCAGGAAGAAUUGUCCUAUGGAUUGUAAACUGCUUUUGCAGGGGAAUAAAGUGCAUCACGUGUGAUGUUUUGUAUGUACUCUGCGAAUAAGGAUCGGCUAACUCCGUGCCAGCCGCGGC
RNAcentral lists this ribosomal RNA (504 nucleotides) under uncultured bacterium. RNAcentral's name for it is "bacterial SSU rRNA". It matches the Rfam family "Bacterial small subunit ribosomal RNA", at positions 21 to 518 of the family's 1533-position model. The record is from RNAcentral.